RNAcentral lists this transfer RNA (41 nucleotides) under Dasysphaera tomentosa. It matches the Rfam family "tRNA", at positions 1 to 40 of the family's 71-position model. Rfam says of the family: Transfer RNA (tRNA) molecules are approximately 80 nucleotides in length. Their secondary structure includes four short double-helical elements and three loops (D, anti-codon, and T loops). Further hydrogen bonds mediate the characteristic L-shaped molecular structure. tRNAs have two regions of fundamental functional importance: the anti-codon, which is responsible for specific mRNA codon recognition, and the 3' end, to which the tRNAs corresponding amino acid is attached (by aminoacyl-tRNA synthetases). tRNAs cope with the degeneracy of the genetic code in two manners: having more than one tRNA (with a specific anti-codon) for a particular amino acid; and 'wobble' base-pairing, i.e. permitting non-standard base-pairing at the 3rd anti-codon position. Lineage: Eukaryota; Viridiplantae; Streptophyta; Magnoliopsida; Caryophyllales; Amaranthaceae. The record is from RNAcentral.
GUCGAGAUAGCUCAGCUGGUAGAGCAGAGGACUGAAAAUCC